CUAGUCAGUGUCUCGGGUCAGAGUGAGAGCAAACGCUGUACUAGACAAUGAGUAAGGAGCUGAUGCGCCACAUUGUGGUGAGGCAUGGCAACGCAAUUAAAUAACACAAAUGGUUUUAGUACCCAUGUGGGUUACAUAUAUCACUCUGGUUCAAACAAUGGGACAGCAAUCUGUUACAGUCCAAUCCAA
Long non-coding RNA from Myripristis murdjan (pinecone soldierfish), 189 nucleotides. RefSeq lists it as uncharacterized. NCBI's taxonomy places the organism in Eukaryota, Metazoa, Chordata, Actinopteri, Holocentriformes, Holocentridae. The record is from RefSeq and is a predicted model, not a curated record. The transcript is spliced from 2 exons.